This 76-nucleotide transfer RNA is filed under the name Mangrovivirga cuniculi. RNAcentral's name for it is "tRNA-Gly". It matches the Rfam family "tRNA". From Rfam's summary of the family: Transfer RNA (tRNA) molecules are approximately 80 nucleotides in length. Their secondary structure includes four short double-helical elements and three loops (D, anti-codon, and T loops). Lineage: Bacteria; Pseudomonadati; Bacteroidota; Cytophagia; Cytophagales; Mangrovivirgaceae. The record is from RNAcentral.
GCGGGCGUAGCUCAGUUGGUAGAGCGACAGCCUUCCAAGCUGUAGGUCGCGGGUUCGAGCCUCGUCGCCCGCUCAA